Non-coding RNA from Gasterosteus aculeatus aculeatus (three-spined stickleback), 2125 nucleotides. NCBI's taxonomy places the organism in Eukaryota, Metazoa, Chordata, Actinopteri, Perciformes, Gasterosteidae. The record is from RefSeq and is a predicted model, not a curated record.
CUUACUUCUCUGUCAGCUUUCACAGGACUGAGGCAAAUCACCGACUUUUGCUUGCGCGAGACGGACUUUUGCCCGCGAAAUUUUUAUAUGGAUUUUUGACAGUGAUUUUGACAGUGAUGAGUUCAAAAGCGCUCCAAUGAUGUCGGAAAUAAUGGCUGAUGACGUAAGUGUUUGCCUGAUACACCACGUAGGAGCUUAAUGUUGCUAUUUCCAAAACUAGAUUUAGCAAGGUAAUAGUGUCACGAAUUAGUCUCGUAUUAUGUACUAAAAAAUCAUUAGUGAAUUCAUAUUAUGCCUUAGGAAAACAUUACUUAUUCAACUUUUCACAUUUCAAGAAUUAACCACAUGUAUUGACCAUAUCUUGCUGAUGAUACGAAUGCUCUUAAAGGACAACUAUAGAUUUAAUAAAAUGCAUUAUGACAGCUGAGGAAUUAAGCUUUGAGGUUUGUUUGGUACAGUUUCUAUCGAACCCGGAAUUUUGAGAGCGUAAUGUCCGAAUGUUCCUGAAUGCAUCAAUCAAAUCUAACGUCACAUCAACGCAUCUCCGUCAAAUUCCUCUGAAGUCUUGACCGACAACAGAGCAUCCUCCUUAUCUGCAUUGUGUUUGACCAUAACGGCUGGUGACUCUAAAGUGCAAGUUCACACAUCAAUUCAGAUAUUGCUCCUGCCAGUGUUGGUGACUCCUUGGAUAUUUGACAGUGUCCUGCUGUCCAGCAUCUCUCCUCCUCUAUCCCAUUGGCUCUCUGUCUAUCCUAUACCUUGUAUCCACUCUGUCUACAAUUUGAUAACUCUAGCUUUCCUGUCAAAUCUACCGCUCUGUCUGAUUUUGUAAACUCUAUCUUUGUAUCCCUCUUCUAUCCCACUCUAUCUGUAUACAUAAGCCUGAAAACCCUGAUAUUCUGAAACCUGAACCCUGAACCCUGAAACCUGAACCUAAGGUUAUUGCAACCUGUCUGAACAGAACUCUGAGAGUAUCUCCACUCUCCCGCUCUCUGUCUCUCCUCUGAACACUCACUCACCCGGGUUAUUGGUACCUGAUCUACCUUUUUGAAUGAUCUGAGAGAUUCUCUUCUCUCACUCUCACCUCUCUCCUAUCAACUCCUAUAUUUAUACAAUACUAUUACUAUUACUGUUACUAAUUUGACAAAACAUUUGAAAUUGACUAUUAAUGAGAUUAACAAAAUUGGCCUGAACAAAGAAUUGAAAAGUUAAUUCAGAAGCUGAAAAAAACAUAAAGUACAAAUCUUUUUGUUAUAAUUGAAAAAACUACACCUUGAUCCAAAGAAUUGUAUUGUAAAAAAGUACUCUUUAUAAUUGAAUCAGGUAGAUUUCCUAAUACACUAUUUGCAAAAGUGCAUUGAAUUAACAUAAUUAAAGACAACUGCACUGUGAUAUAUAAUAAAAUACAUAACUAUUACAAAUCCAUAUUAGAGAAGUGUAUUUGCUCCUGAUCGCUGUUGCUGUGCACCUGUUGGUUUGUACUCAAAGGUUUGUUUUGUGAGCAAACACUGUUGUUAACUUGAUUAGUCUACGUACAAGGAAAAAUAAUCCCGCUACAUGCAUUGAAUCAAUUAUACCUAAUUAAUGAAUACAUAAUGUUUUCUUAUAAACUUACAUUGUGCAUAUCAGUGUUUUGUUGUUUAUACUGAAAUAAAACACAGACGUCAACCAGGAGGAAGUGGAUUCAUCAGGAGUGGCUGUUUCCUGCUGAUCCAACGUUCUUCAGAAGCAUCCAUCUGUCAUCACACUCCCACAACAACUGCUCCCGAAUAUAAACAAUAGCCUAAUAAAGUAUUAAGAUAAUUUCUACCAGUAAAUUUAGCCAUUUGAAAUCUGAAGGGCCCUUUCAGUCAACUGGUUCCAAGUUGUGUGUUUGUGGUAGACUUCAGUUUUUACAUUGAUUAUAUAUUUCCUCAGAUAAGUCAAGGUCUCAGUAAGUAAUAUCUAUUACAUAUUAAAUACCAUCGGUCACUUUAGUACAUGGUACUUCAUUUACACAGACAGACAUACUAAGACCUGAUUGCAGUAUUCAAAUCUAGAAGUGCUUUGUCUAGACCCUCAUAUAUUAGAAUACGUCAGCUGGAUAAUUUCAUUGUGUUUUUUAUAUUAAAACUAUAAAAUAAUC